CCCCAGGAAUGACACUAAGGAUCAAGGGAGCCUCUGGCUCAUUUCCUCCUGAAGCUGCUCGUUGGCUCUGCUACCAAGCUUUCUUGCGCAAGCUGGCUGGUCAUUCUGUCAUCUACAAGCGUCUCCUGGGAACUCUCAGGACAACCCAAAGACAGCUAGGCCGGAAGCUCCCAAGGACGACAAUGGCCAUCCUUAAGGCUGCAGCUGAUCCAGCCCUAAGCACAGACUUUCAGACCAUUUUGGACUAACCCUGUCCCCUUUAGCUGGAUGAACAUGGGCAUUGUAGCCCCACCACUCCUAGAUCCAUGCCACAAGAGGGACCAGCCUGUUGUGGGGCUAGGUUGCCCUCCAAAACCUCUGUGUCAUGGGGUGGUAGUAUGGAAGUUUGUCCCAGUGCCCUGUUUCCUGUGGUGGGCUUGAUUUCCUUCCUGAUGCCCUCCAGGAAGCAGAUCCCACCCCUUUUAGUGUCAAGGAUCCACUAGUCACCAACACCAAAGGAGGUAGAAGACGUAUGGGCACUGGGACCAUGUGGACAGGUGUGAGAUGCCUGGCCCUGGUGUCUUUUCAUAUCUAACCAUGGAGUCUUUUCCAGUGAGGUCAGAGUGUCUCAGAGAUGAAGACAGGACUUUGAACCAGUAACCUAAAUUACAGCCUAAAUAUACUCUGAAUUCAGGUGACUGAAUGUCUUGUUACUUUUGCUGUUGUUGUUGUUAUUUUAGCUUUUGCUGUCCUAGAACUCGUUCUCUAGACAAUAUUUUCCAUAAAGGUGCAACAGGGGCAUGCAUGUCUUGGCAGUAACCAGCAGCUGUCUAAUUUGUUUCAAAGCCCACUCAACAGGAGUACUGGAAUUUAGCCAACUCUCUGGGGUUAGUGAGGCUAUGGGUCUAAGAAGAACUUAAUUUGGCCAUUUUGCUAAACCAGCAUAAUUUCUAACUGCUUGCUAAGUAUGUAUCCUUACACCCAUAGAUAAGUGUAGUGCUCACCCCUCCCUCAUCAAAGAACGUUUGCAACAGAUAGGUAACAUUACAGAAAUCCACAACUAGAUGAAUGCUGAAAACAAGUGAUCAUGGAGUACCCAGCCCCAGUGGAUUCCUCUACAACACAACCUCUGUUGUAACCUAAGACUUAGGGAACAUAAUGAAUGAGGGGACAGGAAGACUGUAAGAGCCAGAGGACCAAAUAAACUGAGAUUUUUGUCUCCUAGAAAUGGCAGGGUGGCUACACCCAUGAUACCUCAACAUAUGGCUACCUAAACAAGAGCUGAACAAAAACAUCAAUAUACACGGUUCUUCCUUGCUCUGGCUCCAGGGUGGAGCAGACAGCCUCAAGCUCUGUUCAGAGUCAAGUUGGAAUGUGCAGGUGGGUGGGGAAAAUACAGGAUAAGGCCAUAGGAGUAUAAUCCAAGGUAUGAGCGAGGAUAUGGGGUAUGCUGAAGGGUAGCAAUCUCUGGGCGCCUCUGGUGAAUCUGGCCUGGGCCUUACCCCUGCUUUUGUGCCAUGGGCCCCUACAGUAAGGAGUUUGUAGGAACACCUAGGAUGAGUUUGUCCUCAGACAGGCAGCCAGGGCCCUCCUGUCUACUCUGUUGAAGUACCACCUGUCCCUGCAGACCAGCACAGCAGCUCCCUCAAGAGAGAAGUCAGCUCUCAGUAGAGCUAGACAAAAGCCAUUCAACAGACAGCCUGAGGCUAACAUAGGGAGCAGGAAGACCAGCAUAAAGGGCAUAGAGAUGUAAAGAACAGCUCCCCACCUCCCUGCCCCCAGCUUCCAAAUGGACUGACUGAGCUGGAUUCACUGAGCUCUUAGUCACAACCAAUUAGCUUUGAGCAAUUCUGGAAGCUUCUGGGAUAUCAUUGGUGGGACCAGAGAAACUGUACCUUGGACAGGGCUCUCAGCCCCAGCGCUGAUGCAGCCUAAUUGGCCCCAGCUGGCCUUAUGACAGUGCCUUGUUCAUCCUGCUGCCUUUUAGUGCAUCCAAGUGACUAAGCCGAAGGCAUUUACAGCAGAGCCAAGUCCAGGGAGUGGAUCAUAAAUGCACCCAGGCUCCUGGAACUUCCAUAUGGAGGGUGUAUGUUUGGGGAUCUUGACAGCCAGCCUGCUGGAACCAACCCAGUCCCAGGGCAGAGGACACUCAGUAACGGGAUUAAAAUAGGGUUGGGAAAUCCCAGGAUCCAAGGUCAUACAUAGCUCAACAGGAGACUAGAAAUCUUCCGCCUGGGCUGGGCACACUCAGGCCUCUCCGGUGUGCCAGUAACAUCAUGUCAUCAGCCAAUCCACUAGGUGCUAGCAUCUUAUCUCUAGCCAUGUUCAUCUAGUUCCAGCUCUCCUCAAGACCACUUGUAUUCCUGCCAAAUUGUUAAGCCCUCGCUAAAGGUUCAUGUCCUAAUGGGCCCCAACUCAUGAGUUGCUGAGUUCUUUCUUCAGUUACUGUGGAGACUGCCAGGUCCGCCCUGGGGGAAACAAAACCGGCGAAGUUAAAAGGCAAUGGGAUCUGAGCUGAAACUUAUUGGUGUGGUGGUGGUGUGUGUUCCCUUGCAAGUGUAGAACCCCUGUGAGGAAGUCAGGUGUGAUGGUGCAUGCCUGUAACCCCAGAACUGUCAAGGUGGAGACAAAUGUAUCCUUGGGGCUCCCUGGAUGCCUAACCUGCUUGGUGAGUUCUAGGCCAGUGAGAGACCCUAUCUAAAAAUCAAAUUAAAAAUAAUUUUUUAAAUGGGGAUGGCUCCUGAGAAAGGACACUUAAGAUCGUUCUCUGACCUCUGCAAACAUGCAUACAGAAUCAGAGAAGAACAGGAAUGAGAAGGAUUUGAGCAUGAGAAAGCAAUGUCAAUGGAACCAGUCAUGAGCUUCCUACAGGAUAAGAGUUCCUUCUUGCCCUUCUCUGGACACCCACACACUGGGCUCAAUACUCGGUACCUAUAAUGAUGUUCACCUGUGAAGGAUAUCAUAGAACUAAAGGGAGUUCCUAAAACUGGAUGGACUGCAGGAACCUAGAGACAGGAGCUGAUGCAGAGGCCAUGAAGAGUGCUGCUUACUGGCUUGCUCUGACAGCUUUCUCAGUCUGUUUUACUAUAGAACCAAGACUAUCAGCCCAGGGGUGUCCCCACCCACAAUGGAGUGGGUCCUCCCACAUCAAUCACUAAUUAAGAAAAUGCCCUACAGGCUUGCCUACAGCCCAGUUGUAUGGAUGAAUUUUCUUUUCUUUUUUUCAGUUUUUCAAGGCAGGGUUUCUCUGUGCAGCCAUGGCUGUCCUAGAACUCUCUGUAGCCCAGGCUGGCCCUGGACUCACAGAGAUCUACCUGCCUCUGCUUCCUGAGUGCUGGGAUUAAAGGUGUGUGUCACCAGCAGCCAGCUGGAUGAAUUUUCUUAAUUGAGGUUACCUUCCCUCAAAUGAUUUUCACUUGUGUCAAGUUGACAUAAGCCGAGCACACUUAUGGUAAGCAGAAAAAUGACAACAAAGAGGUGUUGGUCCCCAGAAACUGACUACGCUACCUGAUCAUGAAAUGUGGCUAUGGUUACAGAUGGAGUGAAGAUCUGUUGACCUGAAGAUAUGAAUCAUCCUGUUUAUCUGGGUGGGUCUGAGAUCAUCACAGGGGUCAGUAAGAGGGAAUGCUGAGUAGAAUUGGGUUGUAGAAAAACUAAACCAGCCACUGCAGUCUUUGAGCUGGAGGAAAAGGCCAAGUGCAGUAAUGAAGGCACUAUCAACCAGACUAGCUAAGGACAGGUGCUGCCCAGCACGCCUCAACCAUGGCCCAGUGAGACCCGAUUCACACUCUGGGCCUCCGAGGCAGUAAGAGUACAGGUAUGUUUAGGAAUAGCUUCUGAUGUUCAGGAAUUUGUUAUGGAAACAAGUGAGGAGACAAACUCAGGACUUGUUCUCAGGAUCUGGGGACCAGUGUGAAGACCUGUGGCAGGAGACACGGACAGGAGUGAAACAAGAUUAACAUGGGAAAGAAGCCAUUUUGCAGAGGAAGUCUGGAGUCCUUCACUUGAACUUUUUCUCAGGAAUGGAUCAUGUUCAGUGAUACACAAACUUGGGAGAGCUGUGUGCUCUCCCUUUCAUAGCAAGCUGUCUCUCUAUUUCCAGCCACAUAUUCCUGAAGCAAUCCUAGAAUCAAAUACCCACAAAUUCAGAUCUGCAGUUUGACACCUCUAAACAUGCUUUCCCUGAUAGUCUGGGCUUUUUCUGUUUCUCUACAUCCAUACCUAGUUUCAAAGGCAUAACUUCUUCACCUCCCCUCCUCUGGCAGCUGCUUGGAUUUUCUUCUUGCUUGUAUUGUUUUUCCUCUCAAACUUUAAUAAAAAAUGUCCUCAAGCUGC
Peromyscus californicus insignis is the source of this 4314-nucleotide long non-coding RNA. RefSeq lists it as uncharacterized. The record is from RefSeq and is a predicted model, not a curated record. The transcript has 2 exons. Lineage: Eukaryota; Metazoa; Chordata; Mammalia; Rodentia; Cricetidae.